This is a long non-coding RNA of Pocillopora damicornis (cauliflower coral), 354 nucleotides long. Lineage: Eukaryota; Metazoa; Cnidaria; Anthozoa; Scleractinia; Pocilloporidae. The record is from RefSeq and is a predicted model, not a curated record.
UCCUGGUCAGUAUGUGAUUUCAUGCGCAUACCAUGUUGGCCAGAGGAAAGUUAAAGGUUGUAAUUAUACUACUGAUGCCAAAGCAACCAACAUUACUUUACCAAGAUUGGAAAAUGCACACAGCUAUGAUGUCUUCAUGAUCAUGCGUAAUAUGGAAGGAAAGUCCAGCACACGCAGAUUGUUUCAUGUCAUUAAGAAAGUGCAAGAGACCCAAACAACAACGACCCAAGAAAGAAAAUUAAGUAGCGUAGAAAUUGCCGGGCUUACUAUUUCAGUUCUCGUAGGAUGUACGAUAGCUGGAGUUGCUGUUUACUUUGUAAGAAAAUGGGGACGCCGGCAAACACCUCUGAUGCC